Molecule: ribosomal RNA, 482 nt
Filed under: uncultured bacterium
Lineage: Bacteria
Description: partial 16S ribosomal RNA
Rfam family: Bacterial small subunit ribosomal RNA
Source: RNAcentral
AUUGAACGCUGGCGGCAUGCUUUACACAUGCAAGUCGAACGGUAACAGGCCGCAAGGUGCUGACAAGUGGCGAACGGGUGAGUAAUGCAUCGGAACGUGCCCAGUCGUGGGGGAUAACUACUCGAAAGAGUAGCUAAUACCGCAUACGAUCUAUGGAUGAAAGCGGGGGACCGUAAGGCCUCGCGCGAUUGGAGCGGCCGAUGUCAGAUUAGGUAGUUGGUGGGGUAAAGGCUCACCAAGCCAACGAUCUGUAGCUGGUCUGAGAGGACGACCAGCCACACUGGGACUGAGACACGGCCCAGACUCCUACGGGAGGCAGCAGUGGGGAAUUUUGGACAAUGGGCGCAAGCCUGAUCCAGCAAUGCCGCGUGCAGGAAGAAGGCCUUCGGGUUGUAAACUGCUUUUGUACGGAACGAAACGGCUCUGGUUAAUACCCGGGGCUAAUGACGGUACCGUAAGAAUAAGCACCGGCUAACUACGUG